Non-coding RNA from Gossypium raimondii (Peruvian cotton), 145 nucleotides. The record is from Rfam. Lineage: Eukaryota; Viridiplantae; Streptophyta; Magnoliopsida; Malvales; Malvaceae.
UGUUGAAAAUUUCAUCAAAUUCUAUAGUUAAAAACUGACGCGACUGACGGAAUAACAAGACAAUUACACAUGGCUUGUCAUAUAUACCUCAUGCUGACAUAUAGAAACUAGAUUUUAAUAUUAGAAAUUGAUGAGAUUUUUAUUA